AGAUAGAGAGAGAGUUUCAAAGGAGGAUUGACUUUUGUUUGAUAUCAAUGUUUAUUCCACAGAUGCAGAGAGAGAGAGAGAGUUUCAAAGGAAAGUGCAAGAAGCUUUUAAUUACCUCUUUUGAGGAUGAUGAGGAGUCGCGAGUCUGUUCUUGGCAAAGUUUCCUUUUGGUGAGGGAGUAUGCGAGUGGGAAAGAUGCAACAGACACACGGCAACCAUCUUCCACGGACGUUCAGUACUAUCCGCAAAGAAACUGUUGAGGGAGUGACUCAGCCGUUGAGGGAGUGACUCAGAUUGUACAGAUGCUUGAAACAGAAGAAGAGUGAUGGAACUAUGACAGAACGUGAUUCAGAGGCUGUUCUGUUGUGUCUGGGAAUAAUUGAUUAGCCUCUUUUGUUUGCUUGUUACGACUGAGAAACAAAACUUAAUGGGAGUGAGUUGAAAAAAGAGUGUGUGUUUAUCAGUUUCAUCUCGAAUAUUCUCUCUUGUGUCUUCUUAUAGUGUGUGUUCUAUCAGUUUAUAUGUAAUCCCAAACUUGUAAACUCUGUUUCUCAAAUUGCUUUUGUUUAGAUUCUGCUUGUGUCCUUAUUAUAAUUUUGAUACUUGUGUUUUCUUGAAA
Molecule: long non-coding RNA, 619 nt
Organism: Raphanus sativus (radish)
Lineage: Eukaryota; Viridiplantae; Streptophyta; Magnoliopsida; Brassicales; Brassicaceae
Exons: 2
Source: RefSeq, a predicted model, not a curated record